Molecule: ribosomal RNA, 1215 nt
Filed under: Pseudomonas baetica
Lineage: Bacteria; Pseudomonadati; Pseudomonadota; Gammaproteobacteria; Pseudomonadales; Pseudomonadaceae
Description: bacterial SSU rRNA
Rfam family: Bacterial small subunit ribosomal RNA
Source: RNAcentral
GCCGUUGCGGAGCUACCAUGCAAGUCGAGCGGAUGAGGGAGCUUGCUCCUGGAUUCAGCGGCGGACGGGUGAGUAAUGCCUAGGAAUCUGCCUGGUAGUGGGGGACAACGUUUCGAAAGGAACGCUAAUACCGCAUACGUCCUACGGGAGAAAGCAGGGGACCUUCGGGCCUUGCGCUAUCAGAUGAGCCUAGGUCGGAUUAGCUAGUUGGUGAGGUAAUGGCUCACCAAGGCGACGAUCCGUAACUGGUCUGAGAGGAUGAUCAGUCACACUGGAACUGAGACACGGUCCAGACUCCUACGGGAGGCAGCAGUGGGGAAUAUUGGACAAUGGGCGAAAGCCUGAUCCAGCCAUGCCGCGUGUGUGAAGAAGGUCUUCGGAUUGUAAAGCACUUUAAGUUGGGAGGAAGGGCAGUAAAUUAAUACUUUGCUGUUUUGACGUUACCGACAGAAUAAGCACCGGCUAACUCUGUGCCAGCAGCCGCGGUAAUACAGAGGGUGCAAGCGUUAAUCGGAAUUACUGGGCGUAAAGCGCGCGUAGGUGGUUCGUUAAGUUGGAUGUGAAAUCCCCGGGCUCAACCUGGGAACUGCAUUCAAAACUGUCGAGCUAGAGUAUGGUAGAGGGUGGUGGAAUUUCCUGUGUAGCGGUGAAAUGCGUAGAUAUAGGAAGGAACACCAGUGGCGAAGGCGACCACCUGGACUGAUACUGACACUGAGGUGCGAAAGCGUGGGGAGCAAACAGGAUUAGAUACCCUGGUAGUCCACGCCGUAAACGAUGUCAACUAGCCGUUGGGAGCCUUGAGCUCUUAGUGGCGCAGCUAACGCAUUAAGUUGACCGCCUGGGGAGUACGGCCGCAAGGUUAAAACUCAAAUGAAUUGACGGGGGCCCGCACAAGCGGUGGGAGCAUGUGGUUUAUUUCGAAGCAACGCGAAGAAACUUACCAGGCCUUGACAUCCAAUGAACUUUCCAGAGAUGGAUUGGUGCCUUCGGGAACAUUGAGACAGGUGCUGCAUGGGCUGUCGUCAGCUCGUGUCGUGAGAUGUUGGGUUAAGUCCCGUACGAGCGCAACCCCUGUUCUUAGUUACCAACACGUAAUGGGUGGGCACUCUUAAGAGACUGGCGGUGGACAAACCGGAGGAAAGAGGGGGAAUGAACGUCAAGUCAUCAUGGCCUUUACGGCCGGGCUUCCAACGGUCUACAAUGGUCGGUAAAAAG